RNAcentral lists this ribosomal RNA (497 nucleotides) under uncultured bacterium. Its description in RNAcentral is "partial 16S ribosomal RNA". It matches the Rfam family "Bacterial small subunit ribosomal RNA", at positions 28 to 507 of the family's 1533-position model. The record is from RNAcentral.
GAUGAACGCUGGCGGCGUGCCUAAUACAUGCAAGCCGAGCGAACAGACGAGGAGCUUGCUCCUCUGACGUUAGCGGCGGACGGGUGAGUAACACGUGGAUAGCCUACCUAUAAGACUGGGAUAACUUCGGGAAACCGGAGCUAAUACCGGAUAAUAUAUUGAACCGCAUGGUUCAAUAGUGAAAGACGGUUUUGCUGUCACUUAUAGAUGGAUCCGCGCCGCAUUAGCUAGUUGGUAAGGUAACGGCUUACCAAGGCAACGAUGCGUAGCCGACCUGAGAGGGUGAUCGGCCACACUGGAACUGAGACACGGUCCAGACUCCUACGGGAGGCAGCAGUAGGGAAUCUUCCGCAAUGGGCGAAAGCCUGACGGAGCAACGCCGCGUGAGUGAUGAAGGUCUUCGGAUCGUAAAACUCUGUUAUUAGGGAAGAACAAAUGUGUAAGUAACUAUGCACGUCUUGACGGUACCUAAUCAGAAAGCCACGGCUAACUACGUG